Molecule: ribosomal RNA, 1037 nt
Filed under: Rhizobium sp.
Lineage: Bacteria; Pseudomonadati; Pseudomonadota; Alphaproteobacteria; Hyphomicrobiales; Rhizobiaceae
Description: bacterial SSU rRNA
Rfam family: Bacterial small subunit ribosomal RNA
Source: RNAcentral
CUCUCAUACAGGCGCCCGGUCAGCAAUGACACUGUCGUACGGGUGCGUAACGCGUAUGCAACCUACCUAUCACUGGGGGAUAGCCCGGGGAAACCCGGAUUAAUACCGCAUAAAACAGGGGCACCGCAUGGUGAUAUUUGUUAAAGAUUUAUUGGUGAUAGAUGGGCAUGCGUUCGAUUAGCUAGUUGGCGGGGUAACGGCCCACCAAGGCGACGAUCGAUAGGGGAGCUGAGAGGUUGAUCCCCCACACGGGCACUGAGAUACGGGCCCGACUCCUACGGGAGGCAGCAGUAGGGAAUAUUGGGCAAUGGAUGCAAGUCUGACCCAGCCAUGCCGCGUGCCGGAUGAAGGCCCUCAGGGUUGUAAACGGCUUUUAUUCGGGAAGAAGAGCAGGGAUGCGUCCUUGUGUGACGGUACCGAAUGAAUAAGCACCGGCUAACUCCGUGCCAGCAGCCGCGGUAAUACGGAGGGUGCGAGCGUUGUCCGGAUUUAUUGGGUUUAAAGGGUGCGUAGGUGGCUGUUUAAGUCAGUGGUGAAAUACGGUUGCUCAACAAUCGAGGUGCCAUUGAUACUGAAUAGCUUGAAAUAAUUGGAGGCUGCCGGAAUGGAUGGUGUAGCGGUGAAAUGCAUAGAUAUCAUCCAGAACACCGAUUGCGAAGGCAGGUGGCUACGAUUGGUUUGACACUGAGGCACGAAAGCAUGGGGAGCAAACAGGAUUAGAUACCCUGGUAGUCCAUGCUGUAAACGAUGAGGACUCGUUGUUUGGUUGCAAAAGCUUGAGCGACUUUAGGGAAACCGUUAAGUCCUCCACCUGGGGAGUACGCCCGGCCACGGUGAAACUCAAAGGAAUUGACGGGGGUCCGCACAAGCGACUGGGAGCAUGGUGGUUUAAUUCAUUGAUACGCGAGGAACCCUGACCUGGGCUUAAUUACAAAGAUUAUGCAAAUGGGGAAGUAGGCACUAUCUUUGUGAAGGUGCUUGCACGGACUGACGUGCGUCCAUGACCGCAGUGGCAGGGUAAAGUUCCAUAAAUACAC